RNAcentral lists this ribosomal RNA (301 nucleotides) under uncultured bacterium. RNAcentral's name for it is "partial 16S ribosomal RNA". It matches the Rfam family "Bacterial small subunit ribosomal RNA", at positions 509 to 809 of the family's 1533-position model. The record is from RNAcentral.
CAGUAGCCGCGGGAAUACGAAGGGUGCAAGCGUUACUCGGAAUUACUGGGCGUAAAGCGUGCGUAGGUGGUGGUUUAUGUCCGUUGUGAAAGCCCUGGGCUCAACCUGGGAAUUGCAGUGGAUACUGGGUCACUAGAGUGUGGUAGAGGAUAGUGGAAUUUCCGGUGUAGCAGUGAAAUGCGUAGAGAUCGGAAGGAACAUCUGUGGCGAAGGCGACUAUCUGGGCCAACACUGACACUGAGGCACGAAAGCGUGGGGAGCAAACAGGAUUAGAUACCCCCGUAGUCCCUGUCUCUUAUAA